Molecule: transfer RNA, 82 nt
Filed under: Micromonospora phaseoli
Lineage: Bacteria; Bacillati; Actinomycetota; Actinomycetes; Micromonosporales; Micromonosporaceae
Description: tRNA-Ser
Source: RNAcentral
GGCGGUCUGGGGUGGGUCGGUGCCGGUCUGCUGAACCGGCACCUAGAGCCGGGCCGGCGUCCUGCCCGCCGGCCCGGCUCCA